UUACAACUCCAAAACCUUAUGUGAACGUAC
This 30-nucleotide ribosomal RNA is filed under the name Stachybotrys chartarum. Its description in RNAcentral is "partial 28S ribosomal RNA". The record is from RNAcentral. Lineage: Eukaryota; Fungi; Ascomycota; Sordariomycetes; Hypocreales; Stachybotryaceae.